RNAcentral lists this transfer-messenger RNA (339 nucleotides) under uncultured Butyrivibrio sp. It matches the Rfam family "transfer-messenger RNA". Rfam says of the family: Bacterial tmRNA, also known as 10Sa RNA or SsrA, is named for its dual tRNA and mRNA-like properties. The record is from RNAcentral. Lineage: Bacteria; Bacillati; Bacillota; Clostridia; Lachnospirales; Lachnospiraceae.
GGGCUUGUACAGGUUUCGACGGGGAUUUUGAAUUCGGAGAAGCAAGCCGCAUGGUAAUGCGUCAAAUUCCAAAUUAAAAAUAAACGCUGAAGAUAAUUUAGCAAUCGCUGCCUAAUGGCAGCUGUCAGCUCUGAUGCACCUGCACAUCAGUGAUCUGGCAUCGACCUUGCAGGAAACGACAUGCGCAAAGCUUUGAGCGCGCGGGCGUAUCAUGAAGCUACUGAGUGACGGAUUGUGUCAGUUCAAGCCGUCAGGAGGGAAUGUUAAAUAACCGACUAAGCUUGUAGAAGGACGAUGGAUGGAUUUUCGGACAGGGGUUCGACUCCCCUCAGGUCCACU